RNAcentral lists this ribosomal RNA (92 nucleotides) under Poa crassicaulis. RNAcentral describes it as "partial 26S ribosomal RNA". It matches the Rfam family "Eukaryotic large subunit ribosomal RNA", at positions 1 to 91 of the family's 3401-position model. The record is from RNAcentral. Lineage: Eukaryota; Viridiplantae; Streptophyta; Magnoliopsida; Poales; Poaceae.
GCGACCCCAGGUCAGGCGGGACUACCCGCUGAAUUUAAGCAUAUAAAUAAGCGGAGGAGAAGAAACUUACAAGGAUUCCCCUAGUAACGGCG